CUGUCUGGAACAGGAAGUAAAAUGGGCCGAGAUGGAGCGAGCCCCCAGUGUGCUUCCAAGGCCACUCCCAACUCCCUGAAACACCCUGCUACGUACUGAUGCAAUGUCCUGCGCUGUGUAUGAGAGCACCUUCUCUUCUGAAACCCCUAUACAAGGGAGGGGCCCCUGCGGAGACCGUGCCCUGCCAUCCAGGGUGGAUGGAGUGCGGAGAGUGGAGUCCCUGAACUGAGUAGUGGGAAAGGCCCAUCUCCUAAUUCUCUUCCGGGAGAGACAUCAGGUAAAGCUUGGUGAUUAACAGGUGGAUUGAGAUUUACUGAUCAACUAGUUCAGGAUCACCACAUGCCUGGAAACACUGCAGUGGGGUCCUCAAAAAUUUAUACAAAUAACCAGGGGACUUCCAUCAUCAAAUACAAUAACAGCAUCUCAGGCAACCUCAACUCACAUUCUUGGAAGGAUUACCACAGCAUUUUAGGAACUUCUGACCAACUGUGACAAUUCUAUUCUUUCAGUCCUCAAGGGGAUUCUAAAAAACUAGUGACAAAGUAGGGAAGCAGCUGAGCUGGAAAGGAGUUCUGAGGACGAUGGAACCUUGGGUAAGGAGGAAGACGGCUGCCCACCCGCCCUUUUCUGGCAGCCACCCUCCCUCACACUGUCCGUUCCUUGAUGACACAGCUGAUGUGAUUAAGAUCGUCCCCAAAUCGCUUCA
Long non-coding RNA from Nomascus leucogenys (northern white-cheeked gibbon), 706 nucleotides. RefSeq lists it as uncharacterized. The record is from RefSeq and is a predicted model, not a curated record. The transcript has 2 exons. NCBI's taxonomy places the organism in Eukaryota, Metazoa, Chordata, Mammalia, Primates, Hylobatidae.